GACGAACGCUGGCGGCGUGCUUAACACAUGCAAGUUGAACGAGAAUUUUUCGAGUGAUUUCUUCGGAAUGAUCAUGAAAAAGGAAAGUAGCGAACGGGUGAGUAACACGUGAGAAACCUGCCUUUCACAAAGGGAUAGCCUCGGGAAACCGGGAUUAAUACCUUAUGAAACCAAACACUCGCAUGAGAGAUUGGUUAAAGAUUUAUCGGUGUUAGAUGGUCUCGCGUCUGAUUAGCUAGUUGGUGGGAUAAAAGCCUACCAAGGCAACGAUCAGUAGCCGGAUUGAGAGGUUGAACGGCCACACUGGAACUGAGACACGGCCCAGACUCCUACGGGAGGCAGCAGUGGGGAAUUUUGCACAAUGGAGGAAACUCUGAUGCAGCGACGCCGCGUGAGUGAUGAAGGUCUUCGGAUUGUAAAACUCUGUCCUUAGUGAAGAUAAUGACAGUAACUAAGAAGCAAGCCCUGGCUAAAUACGUG
This 480-nucleotide ribosomal RNA is filed under the name uncultured bacterium. RNAcentral describes it as "partial 16S ribosomal RNA". It matches the Rfam family "Bacterial small subunit ribosomal RNA", at positions 28 to 507 of the family's 1533-position model. The record is from RNAcentral.